CCUACCAGGCUGCAGACAUGGUCCGGGAAGGAAUACAGUUGUGAGUCUGGGCUUGCCUCCAGACCUGAUGUGCUGUUCACUCAUGCCGGCUGCCAGAAGGUUACAGCUUCAGACAUCGCAAGGAUACAAGAGAGGCUACCUUCCAAGUCUUCACAGCCCAAUAUCUUACGAAUGCUCCUUCGAAAACUUCAAGACUCUUCUCCUCCUUCUCCACCCCUGACCAUGACCCUCCAUGUGGCACAGAAUGAAAGCAGGCAGUAUCACCAUCCACUCACUUCAAGGGACUGUGGCAGUGAAUUACUAUUUCGUGAUGACGAAGCUAGGCAAACUUCAACAACCAGCUACCUGAACACAUUUGCUGAGCUGCUCUGUCAAGUAGGAGGCCGGCUGAGGACGGCAGCAGCCAUCGUGAGGAACAGUGCUGGAGUGCACUGAGUACAGAUCGGCCAGCAGUGGUGUGGCUCAUGUGGAAGGAACUCCAAGUCUCCAAGUCUGAACUAACUGCUAAGUAAGACUGAAUGCCACUAACGCCGAUUACUCUGUUCAAGUCAGAUUUGUACUCAAGAUAUCAAAUUAGCAAGCUCAUCAAAAUUAAAUAACUACAUAGUUGGACACAAUUGGCAUUUCUAUUGGAACAAUUUGAAUUGCUGAUAUGAUAUGACCAUGAUUAUUAUGCAAAAUCGGUGGCAAAACAAAUUUCACACAGACCAAAGAAAAAGGCCGUGAAAGUGGUGAAAGUGGUUCGCCACCAACGCAGGCACAACCAAGGGUGUGAGAGCAGAGCCCGGUUAACUGAGGCAACAAAGCCAGUGGAAGACCUGUCAUCCUAAGAGGAGUCAGUGCUGGGCCAUUACAAACAAAGCCAUUCUGCUCUCCCCUUUCUUCUGGAACUCAGGCUCAUUCCUAGGAGCCCCUGCCCCUCUCUUCUUUGGCAGUGUCCUAAGAUGAACGCAGGUCCCGAGAGUGUGAGCGUGUGAGCGUGUGAGCGUGUGAGCACAGGCGUGGGAGGAAGCAGGGUGAUGUCUCUCUCUUAUAUACAUUUCUGGUCUGCCCUUCUUCUUUAAUCUAAUACUGCUCUCUGCUACCCAUCAGAACUCCGAGUACUGUAUAACGUAUUGAUACCCUCAGAGAAUUCUAUCACUGUAGUGGCAUAAAGCCCUAAAUUAAAGAAGCGCAUGGCUCCAUGAACACACGAACCACACAUGUAUCACUGUACCGACAUGCAUACUCUGAGGACACACAGUUGUGCCAGGACACAGACCCACUGUACAGCAUACGCCCGAUGAGAGGGGUAUGUAGAUAAAACAACAACACUCUCUCUCUCUCUCUCUCUCUCUCUCUCUCUCUCUGUGCAUUGUACCACUGUGCCGACACACUCAUCACCAUACUGGCACGUGCCACGUCAGAGCACGGCAACACUGUCUCGGAAUACAAACAUACCCUCUGGGCAUGGUGUCACUGUGCUGGCACAUAUGCUGUCAGAGCAGUGCAUGGCUAUACAGACACCCACCCCAGGCACGAUAGCAGUGUACUGACACACAUGGGCUUUCUGAGUCCUACAUGGGCUCAUACAUGUCUUCCUGACCUCUGCACAGAAAGGCCUUUAUGUAAUAGUUUUGUCCUUUACACUUUAAGGAAAAAUCCUGUUCACAGAUGGUCAUCUCAACAGAACAAUGAGUCAAUAUACUCUGCUGAAUAUGUUACCUGGUCAGGAAAAAAUUCUUGAAGAAAUGGACCCAACAAUAUGAUUCCUAAUCCUUCUGGAUCCAAUUUGUUCUUCAUGAGAUUUAUACUAUAGGGAGAAGAAAAAGAGAAAGGAAAAGAAAAACACUGAACACCAUAGGAGACAAAACCCCAUAAAACUAUUUUGUUCUUUCAUGAUUAAAUUUCUGGAACCACACGUUUGGAUGCCAAAAUCCUAAGAGCUAUUCUUUUUAGAACUUUAAUGACAAAUACGCAGGAAUGACACUUAAUUUGCCAAAACUUGGCUAUUUUUAAAUCAGAGUAAUCUGUUACUAUUUAAAAUUUAAAUUAUGACGAUGACUUUAGAAUAUUGUUCCUUAUUAGGUAAAGUAAUUUAAAAACCAAGGCUUAUAAACUCAGGGUAUAACUCCCAAAGGCAGAUUCCCUUUCCUCCCUGGGUACUGAAUUCAACAAUCAAAUGGAGCAUUUACUUUAAUAACAACUAUUUUAGGCUCCAGGAGUUGGAAAGAAGUAGGCCAAGAGGCAAUGGCAGAUCAGAUAAUAAAAGCAUGCCUUUCAAAAUGUUACUUUAAGACCCAGAUGAGGUAGAUGCUUAACAACCCUGGACAAUCUAACUUGAAGGCCACAGACGUAAAAGCCUGAGUCUAGGGAAUUGCAGAGAAUGUCAUGGCCCUUGCUGGUCCUGCUGCGACCUGAAGUAAACAAGCUGUAUGUUCAGCUCCUGCCAUUCAGGUGUAACGGAGGCUGUUGGAGAAUGUCAUGGACGAGCAGGUCUAAGAGGUAGGGAAAUGUAGGGUGAGGGUCAAAGGGUGAAACUGUCAAUGGUUUAUUUAGAGGUUUCUCCCCAGUGCUAUUUCAAACUCUAAAUGCCAAGUUAAACUUAGCCUAUUAUGUAACAAGCAAAGUGCCAUAUUUGGGGGCUAAGGGGCAUUGUGGCUGAUCAACUUCCCCGGGGUACUUCCCCAGUGCACAGGGGGAGUCUGUGGCUCAAGCUCUUUAGGGACAGACACUGGAGAAGGGCUGGAGCCGGAGCCAGACAAAAGGGUUUAACGAUUCCCUUCCUAGGAAGGUCUCUGUUUGGACUAAGUGAGUUCUAGGCUUUUUGUUUGUUUUAUUAGAAAUGGAACUUGAGGGAUGUGUUUGGGGAUAAAACUUUUAAAAUACGUUUUAUGAAAAGUUACAUCUUUGUGAUCUCUAGCCAGGCUCAGUAACAUGUGGUCUCAGCUCUAGCCAGGCUCAGUGACAUGUGGGCUCAGCUCUAGGAGUUGCUAGAGCAGGACCAUCACAGACCCAGGAUCAUCAGAGUGCUCUAUGCAAGGAGGAUGCAGAGGGGCUGAGGAAGGCCACUAAAUUGUGAUCUGAGACAAAGGCAAAGUCACUAUUUUCAAUAUAAAAUCUCAAGAACGAAGUCUUUUUAGAUAUAGAAAAUUCAAAUUAUAGCGAAAAACUUAUUUUAAAAAGCAAGACAACCAAUGGUGAGUCAAGAAGCAUCAGUAUGUUUAAUAGGUAUGUUAACCUCUGUCUUCAGAUUGGAUUAGGCCGUUUCCCUAAACUUUUAUUGUUUUGCUAUUUAGAUUUGUUUUUUUUUUUUUUGAAAAUGGGUAAAAAAUGUAUGUAAUGCUUCAACUUGAUAGAAUCUUUUUUGAGUGAUCAAAAUAAGAUUUCCAGUUAUACUCACUACUCGGGAUCUGAAACAAGGUCCAAGGCUUUCAUGACAUCCUCUAGAAGUGUGUCGGCUAUGAAUCCAUUAUCUGGAACACAUAUUAAAGAGAAGUGGGAAUAAGAACAUUUCUGAUCAGGUUCUGGGAGGAGAGAAUCCCUUUACAGAAAUCUGAGGAGUUGUCUGUUUUCCCAAUAAGGCUCACUGCUCCUAGGUACUCACUCAGAUGGAUUUUCUUAGAAAUACAGCCAGAGAUUUAUCUUCGAGGGAGGAAAAAAAAUGACUUAAGAACUCCAAUUAAACCUUAAAGUUAAACUAUAUUUUUUAAUAAAGGAGCUUUACAAACCUGCAAAUGGGUAAAAUCUCUUUCCACUUAAAUGAUAGCAUUAUUCAGUAAUUAGCUAAAUCUUUAAAUUGUCAUGAAGAAAUCAAAGUGAAAAGAAUUCUUUAUAACAAAUUCUUUUGUUUGGUUGUUUAUUUUCAAAACAGAGUUUCUGUGUGUAUCCUUGGCUGUUCUAGAACAUGUUCUGUAGACCAGGCUGGCCUCAAACUCAUGCCUGUCUCUGCCUACAGAGUGAUGGGAUUAAAGUCAUGAGUCACUACCACCCAGCACAAAUUCUGUUUAUAGUUACAGUUUCAUUGUACUACAUGUAGUGAUCCAGUUCUAUUUAGAUAACUGAUGGUGUAAAACUAAGAAAAAAAAAUUGAAACAGGCUUCACAUUAGCUAAUAGCUACAGAUUCAAUUUAAAAACAUUUCAACUGAACACAACAAAACAGCCAACACACCUCAGAAAAAAGCUAAAGCUGAAUGCAGCUGAGGCAAUGGGCUGUCUGAAAACUCCAGCCUCAGCAUAGGAGCUUGUCGCCUGCUUAGAAUCUGCAGGCUCCUUGCUCUCUGUACCUAACCUCUCUGUCCAGCCAUUUACUAUUCAUCUUGUACCAGCAUCUAGACAGGGACUCCAUCUGAUGGUCUGUCUGCUCCAUUCACCUCUCCCAAAACCAGAUCUGCCUUCACAUUCAAGACAUAGACCAGUCCCAAUCACACUUCGUCCCAAUCCCGCCCCCUUGGAGUUCAUCUGACUUCAUUCUACCUAAGCAAAAUGCAACCAUCAGUCACAUCCUGUUAGAAAACUACUCUACUACUACUCUACUCCUAGCCUACUGUGUCCAUAUCAGACAGAGAUUAGCAUUAAUUCAUUAUUAUUAUGUGGUUUCAACAAGCCACUUUAAGAGACUGAUCUGGGGAAAAAAAAAACCAGAGAAACAUUAAAAUCAAAUGAUAUCAUACAUCAAAUGGUCUUUACAGUACAGAAUAUUCCACCCAAAGAUCAAAGAAUACAUACCCUACCCAGCAGCCCUUAGACAUUUCUCUGGGAUACAAAUGCUAAAUUUAGAAAGUUUGAAAUAAUUGGCCAUAAUGCAACAAACUUAAGCUCAAGCCAGUCUCUAAUAAGUAUGCAAACUCACGGUGAAUAAGUAACUGAUUAUUGAACGAUACAUGGGUCAAACAAGAAAUCAAAGUAGGAAUAAAAAUGCUCCUGGAACAAAAUGAAAGCACAAAACCUCCCAGACACAUGGAGAGGAACACGGAGAACAAAAACAAAGCAAAACAACAACAAAAAAAGAGUACAAAUAACUUAAUGAUGCAUCUCAAAAAUGUGAAAAUCAAGGAUAAAUGAAACUAAAAACCAGUAAGCAACAAGAGAACAUAAAAAUUGUAGGGAUUAUAGGAAUAGAAACAUGGAAAACAACAAAUCUAAAGUUGAUUCUCUGAGAUGAUAACAAGACAGACCUUGGCUCAACCCAUUGAAAGGAAGGGAGGAAAAAAGGAAGGAAAGAAGACAGAUCCAAAUUCACAGAAGCAGAUGUGAAAAGGGAAAUAUUACAAUAAACAUCCAAAAAAAUUCAGAUCAUAAGGGAAUAUUUUAAAAACAUGAACUACAUUAUAUUGGAAAGUCUUAAGAAAAAGAAUUUCUAGAUUCAUCCAAAUCACAAAAAUUAAACCAAAAGGAGAAAAACAACCUAAAGAGACUCAUAACAAAUUAUGAGAUAGAAACAGAAACAAAAAUCCUUUUAGACUAAAAACAGUGUAGGACCGGAGGAAGGAUGAGAGAUUCACAACAUAAUUCUACCAGACUGUCAAAGAUCUACAACCAAUCCUUCUUAAAUUAUUAAACAAAUGAAAAAGGACAGAAAGAAAAAAGAAUACACACACACACACACACACACACACACAGAGAGAGAGAGAGAGAGACAGACAGACAGACAGACAGAGACAGAGAUAGACAGAGACAGAGAGAAAAGGAAACAGCAGGAGUAUCCUAUACUCCAUCUGUGAAGCCACUGUCACUUGAAUACCAAAAUUAGAUAAAACCCACACAAAAAGAAAACUAUAAGCCAUUAUCUCUGGAAAAGACAGACUCAAGGAUACUGGCAAACCAAAUGCACAAUCAUAAUCAGGUUGGCUUUAUACUGAACAGGUAGGAAUGGUUCAACACAAGCUAGUAAGUCAUGUAAGUGGAAUUAACAACAAAAAUCACAUGACCAUCUCAGUAGAUGCAGAAAAACUGUUUGACAAAAAAUCCAAUAUGCUUUCAUAAUAAACGUUUAAAAAGAACAGGACUAGAGGAAACAUACCUCAAUGUUUGGCCCACUGUGGUGGUUUGAAUAUGUUUGGCCCAGUGAGUAGCACUAUUGAUAGCAUGGCCUUGUUGGAGUAGGUGUUUUAUAGUGGGAAUGGGUUUUAAGACCCUCAUCCUAACUGUCUGGAAUCCAAUCUUCUCCUAGCAGCCUUCAGAUGAAGAUGUAGAACUCUUAGCUCCCCUGGACCAUGCCUGCCUUGACACUACCAUGUUCCCACCUUGAUAAUAGUGGACUGAACCUCUGAACCUGUAAGCCAGCCCCAAUUAAAUGUUGCCCUUUAAAACCCUAACUAAGAUAGAAGUUGGUACCAGGGAUUGGAAUAUUGUUGUAAUUUUUUUUUCGAAGACUAUAGAUUUUGGGACUUUGGACUAGGUGGAAUGCUCUAAGUGGGGCUUAAUGAGCUAUCUUAGAAAGAAUAUGGAAGCCUUUGUUGCUGAGGGCAAUUUGAACUGUGGAAGACUAGUUCUAAAAGUUUCAGAGGAAAAGAAUUUUAAUAUGUGGCCAAGAGACUGUUCUUGUGAUAUUUUGGUGAAGAAUGUGGUUGCUUUUUGCCUUUGUCUGAAGAGUCUACCUGAGUCUAAGGUAAAGAGAUUUAUAGUAAUUGUAUUGACAAAGGAAGUCUCAAGAAAACCCAACAGAGACUUCGGUCUCUGGUUAAGUCUCAUGAAGAAUAUUUUUAACAAACAUAACAAGCUUAAAAAGGAAAAAUAUAAGAUGAAUGGUUUAAGUAAUAAACAGGUACCAGGAAGUGAAAUGGAGCCGAAUCCUGUGUUCAAAGAAACAGAUUAAGGGAGUGGUGACUUUGUGGCAAGAUCCCACCCAGCUAAGCUUAUUGUUUGUGUGUUUGCCAUUGAACAAGAAAUAGUUAUAUCAUGUUAAGUGUUAUUAUUACUUGUCUAUUGUUUUCACUUAGAUUUUAAAUCUGGAAUGAACUACAAUCCAGAAAUGAAAGAUACAGGCUUUUGAUUUGGAUCUUGAGGCACAGUGACCAUGAAAAGCUUAGGCACAGGCAAGGUGGUACACACCUUUAAUUCCAGGAGACAGAGGCAAGCAGAUCUCUGAAUUCAAGGCCAGUCUGAGACACAGCAAAUCCUAAAUAGAGGAAAGUUUAAAUCCAGGUGUGGUUAAGACCAUAGCUUUAAUCCUAGUACUUCGGAGACAGAUAUGCAGGCCUCUGAGUUCAAGGUCAAUCUACAAAGCAAGUUCUAGGACAGCCUAGCUUACGAAGGGAAAGUUAGAAAACAGAAAGCUAAGGAUAAUAUACAAUAUAAAAAGGGGGGCCAUGUUCCAGCCCCAGCAAGCAGCAGAACUUGGCGGCUUCAGCCAUGUGACUCUGGCUGUAGAGUCAAGAAUAGAAGAGAUUACUGGGAAAAUUGAUGCUCGUUAGCUGGAGCUAAGAAAUCAGUGGUGAUUAAGAGACUAGCAUUACUCAGGUGAAAUCUGGGAAGUGUUUUCUGAGAGCACAAAGAAGCUAUGUUUCAGGUCAAGGUUAUACCUCCUGCUGCAACUGGACUUGGCAAUGUGUAAGAAUCAUUCAAGUGGUACCAGUUUUGAAAGCAUGGAGGGAUGGUAGAGAGCAGCUGAGACUUGGCACUGUGAGAGGCCUUGCCUUUGGUGAAGGAAGGUGAGCCUUAGUUGCAGUUGAUUGAUCAGGACUGAAGGGGCCAUGCAAAGAAGUUGAAGUUUGACACCAUGAAGAGAGACCAUGAGAGGCUAUUGGUGAAGCCUAGUUGUAACUGAAGAGCCCAGUGUAUUGGAGAUUCCAGUACCAUGGGAUGAUCACCAGAACAGCAGCAGCAGAGAGAGUAAGUCAACCAGAGCCUAGAGUGCUACAGAGGGCAGAGCUGGAGAAGUGACGCCAGUCCUUUGGAGGAGCCCAGAUGAUCAUGUGUGGAUCCCAGACAUUGGAACAAGAGGCUGUGAAGUUGAAGUUCACUUGGAGACCCCAAGAUGUUUGAGAUACCAGAGCUGUGGGAUACCUGCUGAGGAAAGCUGCUAACAGGGAGUGGAUCUAGCCCAGGAAAUAGAAGUUUGUUGUAGUCAACAAAGAUGAAAAAGGAGUGGAGAUCUGAAGACGGCUUUGCAGUCAGACAUGGAGACGCAGACUCUGGAGUGUGCCCGGCUGGUCUACUGAAGACUGCUUUGCAGUCAGACAUGGAGACGCAGACUCUGGAGUGUGCCCGGCUGGUCUACUGAAGGCUGCUUUGCAGUCAGACAUGGAGAUGCAGACUCUGGAGUGUGCCCGGCUGGUCUACUGUCUUACUUUGGGGACUACAGUUAAGUGAUUGGAUGAAUUUCAGAAGAGACUUUGAACUUUGGACUUUUAACAUUGCUGAGACUGCUAUAGACUAUGGGGACUUUUGAAGUUGGACAAUAUGUAUUUUGCAUUAUGCUGUGUUUAGGUAUGGUCCCAAUAGACUCGUGUUCGAAAAAGUCUAUGGGGGCCAGGGAGUGGAAUGUGGUGGUUUGAAUGUUUGUCCCAAGGAGUGGCACUAUUAGGUGUGGCUUUGUUGGAGUAGGUGUGUCACUGUGGGUGUGAGCUUUAAGACCCUCAUCCUAACUGCCUGGAAGUCAGUCUUCUCCUAGCAGCCUUCAGAUGAAGAUGUAGAACUCUCAGCUCUGCCUGCACCAUGCCUGCCUGGAUGCUGCCAUGAUCUGACUUGAUGAUCAUGGACUGAACCUCUGAACCAGUAAGCCAGCCCCAAUUAAAUAGUGUCCUUUUAAGUUUCUUGGCUAAUGGUGUCUAUUCACAGCAGUAAAGCCUUAACCAAGACACUCAGCACAAUAAAAGUUAUAUAUGAGAAACCUAUGGCUAACUUUAUCCUAAGAUAACAAAAACUGGCAGCAAUCCCACUGAAACCAGAAAUGAGACAGGGCUGUCCACUAUCCCCAUUCCUUUUCAAUAUUGUACUUGAAGCACAAUCUGAAGCAGUAAGGCAAGAGAGAAAUUAAAGGAGUUUAAGCAGGAAAAGAAGUUAAACUAUCCCUAUUUGAUGAUGACAUAUUAUAUAUAAGAGCUUCCAAACUGAUCUCGGCAAGACAACUGUAUGUAAGGCUCAGGGAACAUCAUGCAAGAGGGGACAGAAAAACUGUACAAGCCAGAGGACCAAAAGUCUGCUGUGAAUGUUCACCUCCUAGAAAUGUCAGGAAACUAUACCCAUGAAGUCCCAACAGCAUGUCUACCUAAAGAAGCCCUGAAUACAGGUAACAAUGGGCAUGCCAACACAAGUAACGAUGGGCAUGCCAACACAGGUAACGAUGGGCAUGCAAACAUGGAAGGAAAGUGUGCUGAGAAGGGGAACAUGGCCUUCUUUGGGGAAGAGCCCUUCAGUUCAGUACCCACAAAUGGUCAUUGCUGAGGUCACACACAUACAAACAACUAAUGGUACAGACUAGUCAGGCUGUAUUUAUAAUUAGGGAAUACAUACACACACUGAUAUGUAACAAUUGAAAAAAGAGGACAAGAAUUUGAGAGAGCAAGAGAAUGGCACAUGGGAGACCUGGAGGGAUGACAGGGAAAUGAUAUUAUUCAUUUAUGUUUUAAAAAUUAUGAAGAAGUUGAGUGUGGACAAUAAAAAUAUACACAAAAUAGCACAGAAAGUGACCCAAACUCUGCAGAUGCCAAAAUUAAAAUGACACAAGCAAAGUCUUGGGAGGGCAGUCAGAAAUGACAGAGGUUCUGAAGAGUCACAAGCUAUUCCCGUGCACAAUGCACAGUACUCAUUCCGAGAGGCUGCCUCUAUCUAUGUUCCAUUAGCAGUGAGCGAACAGCAUGUCUUUUUCUUUUUCAAGGGUUAGAUAAUUUUCUACAGAAUCUUGUCUAAGAUUUCUACUCCUGUAACAAGGCACACACAGAACACAGGGAGCCUCAUCUCACAGUCGUAGGCGGGUCAGGAUGAUACAAAGGCCUCUCCUAUUUGUUAUCGUUUUAAACACUAUCUAAGACAGACUGACCUUGUUUCAAAGGCCCCAGAUCACUUGUAAUAAUUAAAAUCACACAGACUUAAACGUGAAGGGUUAGCCCAACCACAACUUGUCCAGUUACAAAUAACUGGAGGUCUAAAUAAUAAAAUAACGUGUUUGAAAGCAUUUUCAAAGACCUUCAAGCCCAUAAGCUUGCUUUGAUGGAUUGGAAAGAUAGAGAAAACAAAUUAUGUUGUUUAGUUAGGUCACAGCUAACUAGAGCCUAGAGCCUCUAACUGUGAAACAGAUUUUAUUUGGCCACCAGCAGACAGGAGCAACCGUCUGGAAGUCUCCCUGCUUGCUGGCCGUCAUGGAUCUCUACCUGACGUUCAGCAUCUUAGGGAGCAUAGCAAAAAUGUCUCUUCCUGUGUCGUUGUCUGCACACUCGUGCCAGGCUAGCUUCAUUCUUUAAACUUUAUUGCUACUCUAGAAAAAUUCCCAUUAUAGCAAUUACCUGAGAGCAAAGCCCAGAUUCAAAUACUUUUCUCCAUGAAAUGAUCACCAGAUAAAAUUGUGGACUUGCUUAAAAGUUUCCCUAAGUGGGUUCAGC
Non-coding RNA from Rattus norvegicus (Norway rat), 10521 nucleotides. The record is from RefSeq and is a predicted model, not a curated record. NCBI's taxonomy places the organism in Eukaryota, Metazoa, Chordata, Mammalia, Rodentia, Muridae.